RNAcentral lists this ribosomal RNA (429 nucleotides) under Bacteroidota bacterium. Its description in RNAcentral is "Bacteroidetes bacterium partial 16S ribosomal RNA". It matches the Rfam family "Bacterial small subunit ribosomal RNA", at positions 355 to 776 of the family's 1533-position model. Lineage: Bacteria; Pseudomonadati; Bacteroidota. The record is from RNAcentral.
UAGGGAAUCUUCCGCAAUGGACGCAAGUCUGACGGAGCAACGCCGCGUGAGUGAAGAAGGAUUUCGGUUCGUAAAACUCUGUUGUUAGAGAAGAACAGCGCAUAGAGUAACUGUUAUGCGUGUGACGGUAUCUAACCAGAAAGCCACGGCUAACUACGUGCCAGCAGCCGCGGUAAUACGUAGGUGGCAAGCGUUGUCCGGAUUUAGUGGGCGUAAAGCGAGCGCAGGCGGUCAAUUAAGUCUGAUGUGAAAGCCCCCGGCUCAACCGAGGAGGGUCAUUGGAAACUGGUUGACUUGAGAGCAGAAGAGGAGGGUGGAAUUCCAUGUGUAGCGGUGAAAUGCGUAGAUAUAUGGAGGAACGCCAGUGGCGAAGGCGAAUCUGUGGUCUGUAAAUGACGAGGGGGCACGAAAGCGUGGGUAGCAAAGAGG